CAUGUCCUUUUGAGUUUAAUUUAAGGUCUGAUCUGCUCAAUGAGUGUUUAAAUAGCCGCGGUAUUUUGACCGUGCGAAGGUAGCAUAGUAAUUAGUUUCUUUAUUGGGAGCUGGAAUGAAUGAUUAGACGAGAAAAUUACUGUCUCUAUAAAAUUUUUUUUGAAUUUAACUUUUAAGUAAAAAGGCUUAAAGUGAAUUAAAAGACGAGAAGACCCUAUAGAGUUUUACAUUUAUUUAUGGGGGAGAGUUUGUGGUAUAUUUUGUUUCUUUUGUAAAAAUUGUUUGGUUGGGGUGACUAGAAGAUUAAAAUUACUCUUCUAAUCUUUUGUUACUGAUUUGUAAAUAUUUGUUCUUAUUUUUUCAAGUUUAUUUUAAAUUACCUUAGGGAUAACAGCGUAAUUUUUCUUUUGAGUUCUUAUUGAAAGAAUAGUUUGCGACCUCGAUGUUGGAUUAAAGUUAAUAUUUGGCGCAGUAGCUUAUAUAUUGGGUCUGUUCGACCUUUAAAACUUUACAUGAUCUGAGU
This 523-nucleotide ribosomal RNA is filed under the name Platycrepidius sp. UPOL 001418. RNAcentral describes it as "partial 16S ribosomal RNA". It matches the Rfam family "Bacterial large subunit ribosomal RNA", at positions 1816 to 2610 of the family's 2925-position model. Lineage: Eukaryota; Metazoa; Arthropoda; Insecta; Coleoptera; Elateridae. The record is from RNAcentral.